This 87-nucleotide transfer RNA is filed under the name Bacillota bacterium. RNAcentral describes it as "Firmicutes bacterium (gut metagenome) tRNA-Leu". It matches the Rfam family "tRNA". Rfam says of the family: Transfer RNA (tRNA) molecules are approximately 80 nucleotides in length. Their secondary structure includes four short double-helical elements and three loops (D, anti-codon, and T loops). Lineage: Bacteria; Bacillati; Bacillota. The record is from RNAcentral.
GCCGUCGUGGUGAAACUGGCAGACGCAACAGACUCAAAAUCUGUCGGGGGCAACCCCGUAUCGGUUCGAUUCCGAUCGACGGCACCA